RNAcentral lists this long non-coding RNA (256 nucleotides) under Mytilus galloprovincialis (Mediterranean mussel). Lineage: Eukaryota; Metazoa; Mollusca; Bivalvia; Mytilida; Mytilidae. The record is from RNAcentral.
GUUUUCUUUUUAUUUCUUAAGCUUUCAGCACUAAAUCUUUUUAUUUUCUUUUGGGUUCAUUUUUCUUCUUUUGUAGACGUUUAUUCAGGGAUUUUAAUUUUUUCCCCAGGUACUACUUUUCAUUUAUUUGUAGAUUGGUUGCCGCACAGUUUUGCGAACGCAGAAAAAUUAUUUAAAUUGAACUAUAUCGAGUUGUAUUUAAAAAUUUGGGCAUUAUAAAAAUGAAGAAAUUAACAACUAAAGGUCACCGUAUGGU